Molecule: ribosomal RNA, 524 nt
Filed under: uncultured bacterium
Lineage: Bacteria
Description: bacterial SSU rRNA
Rfam family: Bacterial small subunit ribosomal RNA
Source: RNAcentral
UGGGGAAUCUUGCGCAAUGGGCGAAAGCCUGACGCAGCGACGCCGCGUGAGGGAAGAAGGCCUUCGGGUUGUAAACCUCUUUCAGGAGGGACGAAGCCACUCGGGUUAAUAGCCCAGAGGGUGACGGUACCUCCAGAAGAAGCCCCGGCUAACUACGUGCCAGCAGCCGCGGUAAUACGUAGGGGGCAAGGCGUUGUCCGGAUUUAUUGGGCGUAAAGAGCGUGUAGGCGGCUUGGGCAAGUCCGCUGUGAAAACUCGAGGCUCAACCUCGAGACGUCGGUGGAAACUGCCUGGCUAGAGUCCGGAAGAGGAGAGUGGAAUUCCUGGUGUAGCGGUGGAAUGCGCAGAUAUCAGGAGGAACACCUAUGGCGAAGGCAGCUCUCUGGGACGGUACUGACGCUGAGACGCGAAAGCGUGGGGAGCAAACAGGAUUAGAUACCCUGGUAGUCCACGCCGUAAACGAUGGGUGCUAGGUGUGGGCGGUGUCGACUCCGUCCGUGCCGAAGCUAACGCAUUAAGCACCC